RNAcentral lists this ribosomal RNA (265 nucleotides) under uncultured bacterium. RNAcentral's name for it is "partial 16S ribosomal RNA". It matches the Rfam family "Bacterial small subunit ribosomal RNA", at positions 96 to 354 of the family's 1533-position model. The record is from RNAcentral.
UGGCGAACGGGGUGAGUAACACGUGGGCAACCUGCCCAAAAGAGGGGGAUAACACUUGGAAACAGGUGCUAAUACCGCAUAACCAUAGUUACCGCAUGGUAACUAUGUAAAAGGUGGCUAUACUACCGCUUUUGGAUGGGCCCGCGGCGCAUUAGCUAGUUGGUAGGGUAAAGGCUUACCAAGGCAAUGAUGCGUAGCCGAAUUGAGAGGUUGAUCGGCCACAUUGGGACUGAGACACGGCCCAAACUCCUACGGAAGGCAGCAG